This 252-nucleotide ribosomal RNA is filed under the name uncultured bacterium. Its description in RNAcentral is "partial 16S ribosomal RNA". It matches the Rfam family "Bacterial small subunit ribosomal RNA", at positions 524 to 776 of the family's 1533-position model. The record is from RNAcentral.
UACGUAGGUCCCGAGCGUUGUCCGGAUUUAUUGGGCGUAAAGCGAGCGCUGGUGGUUUAUUAAGUCUGGUGUAAAAGGCAGUGGCUCAACCAUAGUAUGCAUUGGAAACUGGUAGACUUGAGUGCAGGAGAGGAGAGUGGAAUUCCAUGUGUAGCGGUGAAAUGCGUAGAUAUAUGGAAGAACACCAGUGGCGAAAGCGGCUCUCUGGUCUGUAACUGACGCUGAGGUUCGAAAGCGUGGGUAGCAAACAGG